This 2940-nucleotide ribosomal RNA is filed under the name microbial mat metagenome. Its description in RNAcentral is "bacterial LSU rRNA". It matches the Rfam family "Bacterial large subunit ribosomal RNA". The record is from RNAcentral.
UUAAGCUACUAAGGGUGCAUGGGGGAUGCCUUGGUACCAAGAGCCGAUGAAGGACGUAGUUGACUGCGAUAAGCUUCGGGGAACUGUCAGCAAGUGUUAUAUCCGAAGAUUUCCGAAUGGGGAAACCCACCUAAGCUAAUCCUUAGGUAUCCUUAACUGAAUACAUAGGUUAAGGAAGGGAACCGAGUGAACUGAAACAUCUAAGUAGCUCGAGGAAAAGAGAUUAUUCCGUUAGUAGUGGCGAGCGAACGCGGAGAAGCCCAAACCGUUGUGCUUUUGUAUAGCGGGGUUGUAGGACCUGACGUUGAGUUAUAAAACUUUUUAUUAGCAGAAUUGUACUGGAAUGAUGGACCAUAGAGGGUGACAGUCCCGUAUGCAAAAAUAAAAAGUCUCUAGUUAGAGUUCCUGAGUACCACGGGGCACGCUAAUCCUGUGGGAAUCUGGGGGGCCCACCUCCCAAGGCUAAAUACUCUUGGUGACCGAUAGUGGACAAGUACCGUGAGGGAAAGGUGAAAAGAACCGCGGUGAGCGGAGUGAAAUAGAAUCUGAAACCAUGCACCUACAAUCAGUCGAAGCCCUAUGUCCGCAAGGAAAUGGGUGACGGCGUGCCUUUUGGAGAAUGAGCCGACGAGUUACUUUUUGUGGCAAGGUUAAGCUAGAUACAGGCGGAGCCGUAGCGAAAGCAAGUCUUAAUAGGGCGUUUAGUCGCAAGGAGUAGACACGAAACCAGGUGAGCUAACCAUGGCCAGGUUGAAGCGAGAGUAAUGUCUCGUGGAGGACCGAACGGGUAUACGUUACAAAGUGUUCCGAUGAGCUGUGGUUAGGGGUGAUAUGCCAAACGAACUUGGAGAUAGCUUGUUCUCCCCGAAAUAGCUUUAGGGCUAGCCUCAUGCGUUUAGUACCGGAGGUAGAGCACUGGAUUGGAUAGGGGGCCUAUCGCUUACCAAACCAAACCAAACUCCGAAUGCCGGUACUCCAGAGCAUGGGAGUCGGACAGCGAGUGAUGAGAUCCGUUGUCGAGAGGGAAAGAGCCCAGAUCGCCAGCUAAGGUCCCUAAGUUGUGACUAAGUGGGAAAGGAUGUGAGAUUACUUAGACAGCCAGGAGGUUGGCUUAGAAGCAGCCACCCUUUAAAGAGUGCGUAAUAGCUCACUGGUCAAGUGAUCUUGCGCCGAAAAUGUAACGGGGCUCAAGUCACACACCGAAGCUGCGAAUUCUAUCUUAUGAUAGAGUGGUAGGGGAGCGUUCUGUAGGAGAUACAGUGCUGACUGAAAAGACAGCUUUCGGCCUACAGAAGUGCGAAUGUCGGCAUGAGUAGCGUAAAACAUGUGAGAAUCAUGUUCGCCGUAUGUCUAAGGUUUCCGACGGAAGGUUGAUCCGCGUCGGGUUAGUCGGGCCUAAGCCGAGGCUGACAAGCGUAGGCGAUGGACAGCAGGUUAAUAUUCCUGCACCACCAAAAUUGAGUGAUGAGGGGACGUAGAAGGGUAGACCAGCCGGGUGAUGGAAGUCCUGGUGCUGAACCUGUAGGGCUAUGAUCUUCGUAGGUAAGUCCGCGAAGGGAGCUUAAGGGGUUGUAUGCGGUGCCGCAAGGCCAGAAGUGGUUGAGCCCAAGCUAUCAAGAAAAGCCUCUAAACGAUAAAGACUAUUUUGGUGUCCGUACCGUAAACCGACACCGGUGGACGAGUAGAGUAUACUAAGGCGAUCGGGAUAACUCUCGUUAAGGAACUAGGCACAAUAGAUCCGUAACUUCGGGAAAAGGAUCACCCCAGUAGGUAAAGCAUGCACAUGCGUAGCUAACUGGGGUCGCAGAGAAAUGGCCCUACCGACUGUUUAACAAAAACACAGGUCUCUGCUAACUCGUAAGAGGAUGUAUAGGGGCUGACGCCUGCCCAGUGCCGGAAGGUUAAGAGGAGGGGUGCAAGCUCUGAAUUGAAGCCCCGGUGAACGGCGGCCGUAACUAUAACGGUCCUAAGGUAGCGAAAUUCCUUGUCGGGUAAGUUCCGUCCCGCACGAAAGGCGUAACGAGUGGGGCACUGUCUCAACGAGAGACCCGGCGAAAUUGAAAUGACCGUGAAGAUGCGGUCUACCCGCAGAAGGACAAAAAGACCCCGUGGAGCUUUACUGUAGCUUGGCAUUGAGUUAGGGCUUGGUCUGUGUAGGAUAGCUGGGAGACUGAGAAGUCGGUGCGCUAGCAUCGAUGGAGUCAUCGUUGAAAUACCAGCCUGAUUAAGUUUUGGCCCUAACAGCUAUCCGUAAUCCGGUAGCUGGACAGUGUCUGGUGGGCAGUUUGACUGGGGCGGUCGCCUCCUAAAAGGUAACGGAGGCGCCCAAAGGUUCCCUCAGGCUGAAUGGAAACCAGCCAUAGAGUGUAAAGGCAUAAGGGAGCUUGACUGCGAGACCUACAAGUCGAGCAGGUACGAAAGUAGGGCUUAGUGAUCCCACGGUACCGAGUGGAAGGGCCGUGGCUUACCGGAUAAAAGCUACCCCGGGGAUAACAGGCUAGUCUCCCCCAAGAGUUCACAUCGACGGGGAGGCUCGGCACCUCGAUGUCGGCUCGUCGCAUCCUGGGGCUGGAGUAGGUCCCAAGGGUUGGGCUGUUCGCCCAUUAAAGCGGUACGCGAGCUGGGUUCAGACCGUCGUGAGACAGGUCGGUCUCUAUCCUCUGUGGGCGUAGGUAAUUUGAGAGGGGUUGUCCCUAGUACGAGAGGACCGGGAUGAACUGACCGCUGGUGUGCCAGUUGUUUCGCCAGAAGCAUCGCUGGGUAGCUAUGUCGGGAAGAGAUAACCGCUGAAAGCAUCUAAGCGGGAAACUUGCCUCAAGAUGAGAUUACCAUCCGAGCAAUCGGGAGAGGUCACUGGUAGACUACCAGUUUGAUAGGUGGUGUGUGUAAGGGCAGUAAUGUCUUUAGCUAAACCAUACUAAUGACCGAAGGCUUGUCUAU